GUAGGGAAUAUUGCGCAAUGGGGGAAACCCUGACGCAGCGACGCCGCGUGAGUGAUGAAGGCCUUCGGGUCGUAAAGCUCUGUUGCAGGGGAAUAAAAAAAUGAAGGUACCCUGUGAGGAAGGAUCGGCUAACUUCGUGCCAGCAGCCGCGGUAAGACGAGGGAUCCUAGCGUUGCUCGGAAUCAUUGGGCGUAAAGAGGGCGUAGGUGGCUUGGUAAGUCAGGUGUGAAAGCCCAGGGCUCAACCCUGGAAGUGCAUUUGAUACUGCUGAGCUUGAGUGUCGGAGAGGUUACCGGAAUACCUGGUGUAGUGGUGAAAUACGUAGAUAUCAGGUGGAACACCGGAGGCGAAGGCGGGUAACUGGACGAACACUGACACUGAGGCCCGAAAGCGUGGGGAUCAAACAGGAUUAGAAACCCCAGUAGUCC
Molecule: ribosomal RNA, 428 nt
Filed under: uncultured bacterium
Lineage: Bacteria
Description: bacterial SSU rRNA
Rfam family: Bacterial small subunit ribosomal RNA
Source: RNAcentral